Molecule: ribosomal RNA, 397 nt
Filed under: uncultured bacterium
Lineage: Bacteria
Description: partial 16S ribosomal RNA
Rfam family: Bacterial small subunit ribosomal RNA
Source: RNAcentral
AAUAUUGCACAAUGGGGGAAACCCUUAUGCAGCGACGCCGCGUGAUUGAAGAAGUAUUUCGGUAUGUUAAGCUCUAUCAUCAGGGACGAAAAUGACGGUACCUGACUAUGAAGCCUCGGCUAACUACGUGCCAGCACCCGCGGUAAUACGUAGUGGGCAAGCGUUAUCCGGAUUUACUGGGUGUAAAGGGAGCGUAGGUGGCGAGUCAAGUCAGAUGUGAAAGCCCGGGGCUCAACCCCGGGAUUGCAAUUGAAACUGGUUUGCUAGAGUGCAGGAGAGGUAAGUGGAAUUCCUAGAGGAGCGGAGAAAUGCGUAGAUAUUAGGAGGAACACCAGUGGCGAAGGCGGCUUACUGGACUGUAACUGACACUGAGGCUCGAAAGCGAGGGGAGCAAACA